This 219-nucleotide unclassified non-coding RNA is filed under the name Hevea brasiliensis (rubber tree). Lineage: Eukaryota; Viridiplantae; Streptophyta; Magnoliopsida; Malpighiales; Euphorbiaceae. The record is from RNAcentral.
GUCCCCAUGUCGAUGAGCCGGAGCUAGUGUCAGCGCUGCUCGAAGGACGUCUGGGUGGGGCUGGGCUCGAUGUGUUUGAACAGGAGCCACAUGUGCCCGAGCAGCUGUUCGGGCUGGACAAUGUAGUUUUGCUUCCUCAUGUUGGAAGCGGCACAGUGGAGACUCGUACGGCGAUGGCCGAUCUCGUUCUGGCCAACUUGGAGGCACAUGUCGCCAGUA